AAGUCGUACGCUUCUUUUUCCACCGGAGCUUGCUCCACCGGAAAAAGAGGAGUGGCGAACGGGUGAGUAACACGUGGGUAACCUGCCCAUCAGAAGGGGAUAACACUUGGAAACAGGUGCUAAUACCGUAUAACAAUCGAAACCGCAUGGUUUUGAUUUGAAAGGCGCUUUCGGGUGUCACUGAUGGAUGGACCCGCGGUGCAUUAGCUAGUUGGUGAGGUAACGGCUCACCAAGGCCACGAUGCAUAGCCGACCUGAGAGGGUGAUCGGCCACAUUGGGACUGGGACACGGCCCAAACUCCUACGGGAGGCAGCAGUAGGGAAUCUUCGGCAAUGGACGAAAGUCUGACCGAGCAACGCCGCGUGAGUGAAGAAGGUUUUCGGAUCGUAAAACUCUGUUGUUAGAGAAGAACAAGGAUGAGAGUAACUGUUCAUCCCUUGACGGUAUCUAACCAGAAAGCCACGGCUAACUACGUGCCAGCAGCCGCGGUAAUACGUAGGUGGCAAGCGUUGUCCGGAUUUAUUGGGCGUAAAGCGAGCGCAGGCGGUUUCUUAAGUCUGAUGUGAAAGCCCCCGGCUCAACCGGGGAGGGUCAUUGGAAACUGGGAGACUUGAGUGCAGAAGAGGAGAGUGGAAUUCCAUGUGUAGCGGUGAAAUGCGUAGAUAUAUGGAGGAACACCAGUGGCGAA
Molecule: ribosomal RNA, 689 nt
Filed under: uncultured bacterium
Lineage: Bacteria
Description: bacterial SSU rRNA
Rfam family: Bacterial small subunit ribosomal RNA
Source: RNAcentral